UUGGCCAGGUGGGUCAGUAUUAGGAACUGUUGGCCAGGUGGGUCAGUAUUAGGAACUGUUGGCUAGGUGGGUCAGUAUUAGGAACUGUUGGCUAGGUGGGUCAGUAUUAGGAACUGUUGGCUAGGUGGGUCAGUAUUAGGAACUGUUGGCUAGGUGGGUCAGUAUUAGGAACUGUUGGCUAGGUGGGUCAGUAUUAGGAACUGUUGGCUAGGUGGGUCAGUAUUAGGAACUGUUGGCUAGGUGGGUCAGUAUUAGGAACUGUUGGCUAGGUGGGUCAGUAUUAGGAACUGUUGGCUAGGUGGGUCAGUAUUAGGAACUGUUGGCUAGGUGGGUCAGUAUUAGGAACUGUUGGCUAGGUGGGUCAGUAUUAGGAACUGUUGGCUAGGUGGGUCAGUAUUAGGAACUGUUGGCUAGGUGGGUCAGUAUUAGGAACUGUUGGCUAGGUGGGUCAGUAUUAGGAACUGUUGGCUAGGUGGGUCAGUAUUAGGAACUGUUGGCUAGGUGGGUCAGUAUUAGGAACUGUUGGCUAGGUGGGUCAGUAUUAGGAACUGUUGGCUAGGUG
Molecule: long non-coding RNA, 562 nt
Organism: Oncorhynchus keta (chum salmon)
Lineage: Eukaryota; Metazoa; Chordata; Actinopteri; Salmoniformes; Salmonidae
Exons: 5
Source: RefSeq, a predicted model, not a curated record